This 64-nucleotide microRNA precursor is filed under the name Triops cancriformis. RNAcentral describes it as "microRNA tcf-mir-375 precursor". Its record names the gene tcf-mir-375. The record is from miRBase by way of RNAcentral. Lineage: Eukaryota; Metazoa; Arthropoda; Branchiopoda; Notostraca; Triopsidae.
ACUCGAGCCCUUCGUAGCACAUCCCAUAUACGUUGGAAUUGAUUUGUUCGUUCGGCUCGAGUUA